RNAcentral lists this ribosomal RNA (442 nucleotides) under uncultured bacterium. RNAcentral's name for it is "bacterial SSU rRNA". It matches the Rfam family "Bacterial small subunit ribosomal RNA", at positions 29 to 517 of the family's 1533-position model. The record is from RNAcentral.
AACGAACGCUGGCGGCAGGCCUAACACAUGCAAGUCGAGCGCCCAGCAAUGGGAGCGGCGGACGGGUGAGUAACGCGUGGGAAUUUUUCCUGGAGUACGGAACAACCGAGGGAAACUUCGGCUAAUACCGUAUGAUGCCGAGAGGCCAAAGAUUUAUCGUUCUGGGGUGAGCCCGCGUCAGAUUAGGUAGUUGGUGGGGUAAAGGCCUACCAAGCCUGCGAUCUGUAGCUGGUCUGAGAGGACGAUCAGCCACACUGGGACUGAGACACGGCCCAGACUCCUACGGGAGGCAGCAGUGGGGAAUCUUGCGCAAUGGGCGAAAGCCUGACGCAGCCAUGCCGCGUGAGUGAAGAAGGUCUUAGGAUUGUAAAGCUCUUUCGCUCGUGACGAUGAUGACGGUAACGAGAGAAGAAGCCCCCGGCUAACUUCGUGCCAGCAGCCG